GAUGAACGCUGGCGGCGUGCCUAAUACAUGCAAGUCGAGCGAACAGACGAGGAGCUUGCUCCUUUGACGUUAGCGGCGGACGGGUGAGUAACACGUAGGUAACCUACCUAUAAGACUGGGAUAACUUCGGGAAACCGGAGCUAAUACCGGAUAAUAUUUCGAACCGCAUGGUUCGAUAGUGAAAGAUGGCUUUGCUAUCACUUAUAGAUGGACCUGCGCCGUAUUAGCUAGUUGGUAAGGUAACGGCUUACCAAGGCAACGAUACGUAGCCGACCUGAGAGGGUGAUCGGCCACACUGGAACUGAGACACGGUCCAGACUCCUACGGGGGGCAGCAGUAGGGAAUCUUCCGCAAUGGGCGAAAGCCUGACGGAGCAACGCCGCGUGAGUGAUGAAGGUCUUCGGAUCGUAAAACUCUGUUAUUAGGGAAGAACAAACGUGUAAGUAACUGUGCACGUCUUGACGGUACCUAAUCAGAAAGCCACGGCUAACUACGUG
RNAcentral lists this ribosomal RNA (497 nucleotides) under uncultured bacterium. Its description in RNAcentral is "partial 16S ribosomal RNA". It matches the Rfam family "Bacterial small subunit ribosomal RNA", at positions 28 to 507 of the family's 1533-position model. The record is from RNAcentral.